UCAAACACACGUUACCACUCACUCUCACUAUCAUCUCUCUCCCUCCACUCAUUUAAGAACCUACACCUACCUACCUACCACAAAAAAUCCUCACAAAUCUCUCAGACUCUCUCUCCCUACUACACACUAAAGAAAAGAAAGCGAAAAGAGGAAUGUUUCCUCUUCCUCGGAAACGCUUCCUCCGUCUCCACUAACCCUUACCACCUUUAAAACCAACCACCACACGCCUCGCUCAAUCGCCUUCACCGGAGAAAUCGAUCACCACCAACCACCCGUCUCCGCCAGUAACCCAACACCGCCUAAACGACCGCCGAAAACCUUCUCCACUCCUAUCGCUUAAAAACCCCCCGUCUCCAACCUCGAUGUUCACCCUUCUCCAUCCACAAACACCCUCGUCUAGCCGUCAACGGCCGACAACCACCGCAUAUCCGCCUACCUCCUUCGUCGUCCUUACACACCACAUCUCCGUCAUUUUCUUUCUUCAGCGAGAAAUCGUUUGCUCUUUCUAUUAUCAACAAGUCACUGGAAAACCGGCCACCACAAUUGCUAAUGAAGACCUCCACAUCUUCCGUCGUCACGCGAAGCAACUGCGUUGCCUUCCACCAACAGGAGUAGAGCUUUGAACGUGGGUCAGUAAUAAUGCAGCGCCUAGCCAUUACUUUUAUCCGUUCUCACAUCAACUCGGUAACAACUUAAAUUCUGAGUUUAUUCGGUUUUAUUGUGUACUUUGUCACGAGUAUUAAAUAUUUCAUUGCUAUUUGGCCACUGAUAUUCUGUUGUCAUGUUGAAUGAGUGUAGAUAAGUGUGUGAGAUACAAAUAAAUCGGUAAUACGAUGACUGUUUCUUUUCGCUUUGCUGAGGAUUUCUCCGUUUUUAUUUUAUAACAAUUAUGCAAUUGGAGGAAUGUGGUACCAUGGCUGUGUUUUAUUACAUUGCAUUUUAAACCAGAUUUUUAUCCUUGGCCUCAACGUCGGUCCGACGUUACGAUAACGGUUUGCAUCGUAUCCGCCUUGGUUUGGUAUUGUUUGCUGUAGUUGUUAUUUUUAUUUUUGAUUAUGUACAUGUUGAUUUGGUUGUAUACAAUGAUUUCUCUUCUGGUGCAUUUUCGAUAACAUAAUUCGAUCGCGUUGUUGCUUAUUUAAUUUAUAACGGAGUAUUACUUGUAGCUUUCACUCAUUGUGGUUCCCAUCAUAAAUCUGUUUCUAUUGUAUCUGUUUAAAGUGUGGAUAUGGUGUUUCAUUUGAUUUUGUUUCACUUCUCAAGAGAUUAAUAUAUUAUGGAUAUUUAAGCUACUUCUCAAGAAAUUCCCAUUCCGUCGUAUGCUUUCUCGUAUCUUCUUUUCCUUCACUCUCUUUUAUUCUUUUCCGGCUUUGACUAUGGAUAUGUAAUCUAGAAAUAUAAAUUUUCCAACUGCCCUCGUUUCAGCACAUACAUGUGAUGGAGGUUUAAUCAUGUUAAUUAUCCGUCCUUUUUACAAUUGCACAGGUCAUUGGUGUUCAUGGGUCAUUGCAGUGGUAGGCUUAUUCCAUGCUGUUUUUAUGUUCCUUAUAACCUGAUAAGCCUGACCAUUCGGUUUUCAAGAAGGAUAAUUAGAAUAUUUUUUGUUUUGUUUGUUCUUUAUAAAAAAACUAUAAAAAUUGAACUCUUUUUCAUUGAGGAAAAUGUUAUUAAUAGUUAUGUUAG
This 1683-nucleotide long non-coding RNA is filed under the name Lathyrus oleraceus (garden pea). Its description in RNAcentral is "Pisum sativum (pea) long non-coding RNA (PSAT_LNC004290)". The record is from RNAcentral. Lineage: Eukaryota; Viridiplantae; Streptophyta; Magnoliopsida; Fabales; Fabaceae.